GGGCGUGUAGCUCAGCUGGAAACAAAGAUGGACGCAGAUGUAAUCUGCGUCGGUCGGCACUAGAGCGCGGGUCUUCUAAGCCUGAGGUCGGGGGUUCGUAUCCCCUCACGCCCA
This 114-nucleotide transfer RNA is filed under the name Candidatus Aenigmatarchaeota archaeon. RNAcentral describes it as "tRNA-Arg". It matches the Rfam family "tRNA". Rfam says of the family: Transfer RNA (tRNA) molecules are approximately 80 nucleotides in length. Their secondary structure includes four short double-helical elements and three loops (D, anti-codon, and T loops). The record is from RNAcentral. Lineage: Archaea; Nanobdellati; Candidatus Aenigmatarchaeota.